CAGAAAAAGCACCGGCUAACUACGUGCCAGCAGCCGCGGUAAUACGUAGGGUGCAAGCGUUGUCCGGAAUUAUUGGGCGUAAAGAGCUCGUAGGCGGUUUGUCGCGUCUGCUGUGAAAACCAGAAGCUCAACUUCUGGCCUGCAGUGGGUACGGGCAAACUAGAGUGCGGUAGGGGAGAACGGAAUUCCUGGUGUAGCGGUGGAAUGCGCAGAUAUCAGGAGGAACACCGAUGGCGAAGGCAGUUCUCUGGGCCGUUACUGACGCUGAGGAGCGAAAGCGUGGGGAGCGAACAGGAUUAGAUACCCUGGUAGUCCACGCCGUAAACGGUGGGUGCUAGCUGUGGGCCACAUUCCACGUGGUCCGUGACGAAGUUAACACAUUAAGCACCCCGCCUGGGGAGUACGGCCGCAAGGCUAAAACUCAAAGGAAUUGACGGGGGCCCGCACAAGCGGCGGAGCAUGCGGAUUAAUUCGAUGCAACGCGAAGAACCUUACCAAGGCUUGACAUAUAGAGGAAAAGUACAGAAAUGUACUCCCCGUAAGGUCUCUAUACAGGUGGUGCAUGGUUGUCGUCAGCUCGUGUCGUGAGAUGUUGGGUUAAGUCCCGCAACGAGCGCAACCCUCGUCCUAUGUUGCCAGCACGUUAUGGUGGGAACUCAUGGGAUACUGCCGGGGUCAACUCGGAGGAAGGUGGGGAUGACGUCAAAUCAUCAUGCCCCUUAUGUCUUGGGCUUCACGCAUGCUACAAUGGCCGGUACAGAGGGCUGCAAUACCGUAAGGUGGAGCGAAUCCCAAAAAGCCGGUCUCAGUUCGGAUUGAG
This 820-nucleotide ribosomal RNA is filed under the name marine metagenome. RNAcentral describes it as "bacterial SSU rRNA". It matches the Rfam family "Bacterial small subunit ribosomal RNA", at positions 482 to 1302 of the family's 1533-position model. The record is from RNAcentral.